CCCCUAGACGUUCUGGGCUGCACGCGCGCUACAAUAAUACGCACAGCGAGUAUCACCGAGCUCGAAAGGGCAAGGUAAACAAUAGAAAAGGUACUGUAAUGGUUAUAGAUCCUUGUAAUUAUUGAUCUUCAACGAGGAAUUCCUAGUAAGUAUGUGUCAUCAUCACGCACUGAUUACGUCCCUGCCCUUUGUACACACCGUCCGUCGCUCCUACCGAUUGGGUGAGCCGAUGAAACUCUCGGAUGUAGGCUAUUCAUAGCCCGCAGAAGAGAUUUGAAUCGUAGCGCUUAGAGGAAGGAGAAGUCGUAACA
Molecule: ribosomal RNA, 311 nt
Filed under: uncultured eukaryote
Lineage: Eukaryota
Description: partial 18S ribosomal RNA
Rfam family: Eukaryotic small subunit ribosomal RNA
Source: RNAcentral